GGGACUGUGGCGGCAGGCUAACACAUGCAGUCGAGCGGUAGCACAGAGAGAGCUUGCUCCUUGGCGUGACGAGUGGCGGACGGGUGAGUAAUGUCUGGGAAACUGCCCGAUGGAGGGGGAUAACUACUGGAAACGGUAGCUAAUACCGCAUAACGUCGCAAGACCAAAGAGGGGGACCUUCGGGCCUCUUGCCAUCGGAUGUGCCCAGAUGGGAUUAGCUAGUAGGUGGGGUAACGGCUCACCUAGGCGACGAUCCCUAGCUGGUCUGAGAGGAUGACCAGCCACACUGGAACUGAGACACGGUCCAGACUCCUACGGGAGGCAGCAGUGGGGAAUAUUGCACAAUGGGCGCAAGCCUGAUGCAGCCAUGCCGCGUGUAUGAAGAAGGCCUUCGGGUUGUAAAGUACUUUCAGCGAGGAGGAAGGUGUUGUGGUUAAUAACCGCAGCAAUUGACGUUACUCGCAGAAGAAGCACCGGCUAACUCUGUGCCAGCAGCCGCA
Molecule: ribosomal RNA, 500 nt
Filed under: Citrobacter freundii
Lineage: Bacteria; Pseudomonadati; Pseudomonadota; Gammaproteobacteria; Enterobacterales; Enterobacteriaceae
Description: bacterial SSU rRNA
Rfam family: Bacterial small subunit ribosomal RNA
Source: RNAcentral